Molecule: ribosomal RNA, 442 nt
Filed under: uncultured bacterium
Lineage: Bacteria
Description: partial 16S ribosomal RNA
Rfam family: Bacterial small subunit ribosomal RNA
Source: RNAcentral
CCUACGGGUGGCAGCAGUGGGGGAUAUUGGACAAUGGGGGGAACCCUGAUCCAGCGACGCCGCGUGAGUGAAGAAGUAUCUCGGUAUGUAAAGCUCUAUCAGCAGGGAAGAAGAAAUGACGGUACCUGAGUAAGAAGCCCCGGCUAACUACGUGCCAGCAGCCGGGGGAAUACGUAGGGGGCAAGCGUUAUCCGGAAUUACUGGGUGUAAAGGGAGCGUAGACGGUGAUGUAAGUCUGGAGUGAAAGGCGGGGGCCCAACCCCCGAACUGCUCUGGAAACUAUGUGACUGGAGUGCAGGAGAGGUGAGCGGAAUUCGUGGUGUAGCGGUGAAAUGCGUAGAUAUUGGGAGGAACACCAGUGGCGAAGGCGGCACGCUGGACUGUAACUGACGUUGAGGCUCGAAAGCGUGGGGAGCAAACAGGAUUAGAUACCCGGGUAGUC